This 468-nucleotide ribosomal RNA is filed under the name uncultured bacterium. RNAcentral describes it as "partial 16S ribosomal RNA". It matches the Rfam family "Bacterial small subunit ribosomal RNA", at positions 28 to 507 of the family's 1533-position model. The record is from RNAcentral.
GACGAACGCUGGCGGCGUGCUUAACACAUGCAAGUCGAACGGAAAGGCCCUGCUUUUGCGGGGUGCUCGAGUGGCGAACGGGUGAGUAACACGUGAGUAACCUGCCCUUGACUUUGGGAUAACUUCAGGAAACUGGGGCUAAUACCGGAUAGGAGCUCCUGCUGCAUGGUGGGGGUUGGAAAGUUUCGGCGGUUGGGGAUGGACUCGCGGCUUAUCAGCUUGUUGGUGGGGUAGUGGCUUACCAAGGCUUUGACGGGUAGCCGGCCUGAGAGGGUGACCGGCCACAAUGGGACUGAGAUACGGCGCAGACUCCUACGGGAGGCAGCAGUGGAGAAUAUUGCACAAUGGGCGGAAGCCUGAUGCAGCAACGCCGCGUGCGGGAUGACGGCCUUCGGGUUGUAAACCGCUUUCGCCUGUGACGAAGCGUGAGUGACGGUAAUGGGUAAAGAAGCACCGGCUAACUACGUG